GCAAAACCAGUUUGAAUUAAAGCCAGAACCACGACACAGCAAAGUCAGAGACCAAAGCCACCCCUUGGCCUCCCCUGCCCUUCUCCCCAGCUCCCCAUCCAGAGACUCCCAGGGAUUCCAGGGGCACACAAAGGCAGCCUGCAUUCAACCAGCAUCCCACAGAUUUCAUUUGGAUGGCUUCUCCCAGGAAUCUGGAGGCAGCAAGUGCCCUGGGAAUGUUCCUUCCACACUGGAACCAUCAUCCCUUUACCCCCUAAACCCCAGCAGGCACCACUGGGAUGGAGCAGCUCACAUCUGCAUCCAGGACAGGAUCCCCAGGGUUCCCAAGCCACCAGGAUUCCUGGAUAAGAGUAUUAUUUCUGAAGUGUUUAAGGCACUGGGAGCUGAAGGGGAUGAAGUGGUGCUGCACUCAGCCAAUCCUGCACUGAGGCCUCAGCCAAGCCCUUCUGCAGCAGGGAUGAAGCUUUCAUUAAAAAAAACAGAGUUUUCACCUCUUGAAAUGAAGCUCCUCACUCUCACCAAAUCAAACAUUACCACAGCUUUGCUUUGCUGCUGUUACAGGAACCAUGUGGGAGCCCUGGCUUCACAUUCUCCAACCCUAAAGCUUUAAAUCCCCACUUAUUCUGCAUCCCCCUAAGAGCUGCUGUGCUUUUGGCUUUUAACAGAGCGGGACCAAAGCAAUGUGGGGUUGGAAAGAGCCACUCCACCAGCUCCUCACCCUGCUGCUCCCACUCUACACAAUUCCAACACCUUUCCCUGUAAAUGAAGCCUCUGCUCAACACCUUCCUCCUUCCAACACCUCUUUCAUUUUCACCUCUUCUGCCACCAAGAAACAACCUGGCAGCAUGUGGUGCUCACACCUCCCAUCCCACCUGCUGGAACAAAGCUCUUCUCCACACCUGCAGGAUCUCAAGGAGAGUCCUGCCCUGUCUAUGCCACCAAUUCCUUAUCCUUAUUUAGCAAAAUGGGAGUGCUUGUCCCUCCUUCCUUUCCUUCUGCAGAGGAGCAAACAGCUCAGGAGCUCCCAUUUCCCACAUCCCAGCCCAUGGAUGGGCACCACCA
Molecule: long non-coding RNA, 1062 nt
Organism: Cyanistes caeruleus (blue tit)
Lineage: Eukaryota; Metazoa; Chordata; Aves; Passeriformes; Paridae
Source: RefSeq, a predicted model, not a curated record